Molecule: ribosomal RNA, 516 nt
Filed under: uncultured Hanseniaspora
Lineage: Eukaryota; Fungi; Ascomycota; Saccharomycetes; Saccharomycodales; Saccharomycodaceae
Description: eukaryotic LSU rRNA
Rfam family: Eukaryotic large subunit ribosomal RNA
Source: RNAcentral
AAACCAACUGGGAUUACCUUAGUAACGGCGAGUGAAGCGGUAAAAGCUCAAAUUUGAAAUCUGGUACUUUCAGUGCCCGAGUUGUAAUUUGUAGAAUUUGUCUUUGAUUAGGUCCUUGUCUAUGUUCCUUGGAACAGGACGUCAUAGAGGGUGAGAAUCCCGUUUGGCGAGGAUACCUUUUCUCUGUAAGACUUUUUCGAAGAGUCGAGUUGUUUGGGAAUGCAGCUCAAAGUGGGUGGUAAAUUCCAUCUAAAGCUAAAUAUUGGCGAGAGACCGAUAGCGAACAAGUACAGUGAUGGAAAGAUGAAAAGAACUUUGAAAAGAGAGUGAAAAAGUACGUGAAAUUGUUGAAAGGGAAGGGCAUUUGAUCAGACAUGGUGUUUUGCGCCCUUUGCUCCUUGUGGGCGAGGAUACGCAGCUCACUGGGCCAACAUCAGUUUUGGGAGCAGGAUAAAUCUGUAGGACGUAGCUUUCUUCGGGAAGUGUUAUAGCCUAUGGGAAUACUGCUACCUGGGA